AGCAGCCGCGGUAAUUCCAGCUCCAAUAGCGUAUAUUAAAGUUGUUGCAGUUAAAAAGCUCGUAGUUGAAUUUCGGGAUCAGAGUGUCGGUCGUGCCUCGGUACGCACUGGUAUUAUUGGUUCCUACCUUCUGAAGAACCGCGAUGUCAUUAAUUUGGUGUCGUGGGGAAUCAGGACUGUUACUUUGAAAAAAUUAGAGUGUUUAAAGCAGGCUUACGCUUGAAUACAUUAGCAUGGAAUAAUGAAAUAGGACGUUUGAUUCUAUUUUGUUGGUUUCUAGGAUUGACGUAAUGAUUAAUAGGGAUAGUUGGGGGCAUUAGUAUUCAAUUGUCAGAGGUGAAAUUCUUGGAUUUAUUGAAGACUAACUACUGCGAAAGCAUUUGCCAAGGAUGUUUUCAUUAAUCAAGAACGAAAGUUAGGGGAUCGAAGACGAUCAGAUACCGUCGUAGUCUUAACCAUAAACUAUGCCGACUAGGGAUCGGAUGAUGUUAAUUUUUAAUGACUCAUUCGGCGCCUUACG
Molecule: ribosomal RNA, 520 nt
Filed under: uncultured Glomus
Lineage: Eukaryota; Fungi; Glomeromycota; Glomeromycetes; Glomerales; Glomeraceae
Description: SSU rRNA
Rfam family: Eukaryotic small subunit ribosomal RNA
Source: RNAcentral